GGCCAGACUCCUACGGGAGGCAGCAGUAGGGAAUUUUGCGCAAUGGGGGAAACCCUGACGCAGCAACGCCGCGUGAUUGAUGAAGCCCUUCGGGGUGUAAAGAUCUGUCAGUGGGGACGAAACUUGACGGUACCCACAGAGGAAGCAUCGGCUAACUCCGUGCCAGCAGCCGCGGUAAUACGGAGGAUGCGAGCGUUAUCCGGAUUUAUUGGGUUUAAAGGGUGCGUAGGCGGAAUAUCAAGUCAGCGGUAAAAAUUCGGGGCUCAACCCCGUCGUGCCGUUGAAACUGAUGUUCUUGAGUGGGCGAGAAGUAUGCGGAAUGCGUGGUGUAGCGGUGAAAUGCAUAGAUAUCACGCAGAACUCCGAUUGCGAAGGCAGCAUACCGGCGCCCAACUGACGCUGAAGCACGAAAGCGUGGGGAGCAAACAGGAUUAGAUACCCUAGUAGA
RNAcentral lists this ribosomal RNA (448 nucleotides) under uncultured bacterium. Its description in RNAcentral is "partial 16S ribosomal RNA". It matches the Rfam family "Bacterial small subunit ribosomal RNA", at positions 329 to 794 of the family's 1533-position model. The record is from RNAcentral.